Molecule: ribosomal RNA, 252 nt
Filed under: uncultured Mogibacterium sp.
Lineage: Bacteria; Bacillati; Bacillota; Clostridia; Peptostreptococcales; Anaerovoracaceae
Description: partial 16S ribosomal RNA
Rfam family: Bacterial small subunit ribosomal RNA
Source: RNAcentral
UACGUAGGGGGCAAGCGUUGUCCGGAAUUAUUGGGCGUAAAGAGUACGUAGGCGGUCUGUUAAGCGCAAGGUGAAAGGCAUAGGCUCAACCAAUGUGAGCCUUGCGAACUGGCAGACUUGAGUGCAGGAGAGGAAAGCGGAAUUCCUAGUGUAGCGGUGAAAUGCGUAGAUAUUAGGAGGAACAUCGGUGGCGUAAGCGCUUUACUGGGCCGUAAUUGACGCUGAGGAACGAAAGCCAGGGUAGCAAAUGGG